GGCAGAUUACCCGAGCGGCCAAAGGGGGCUGACUGUAAAUCAGCUGGCAUUGCCUUCACUGGUUCGAAUCCAGUAUCUGCCACCA
RNAcentral lists this transfer RNA (85 nucleotides) under Arthrobacter sp. RNAcentral describes it as "tRNA-Tyr". It matches the Rfam family "tRNA". Rfam says of the family: Transfer RNA (tRNA) molecules are approximately 80 nucleotides in length. Their secondary structure includes four short double-helical elements and three loops (D, anti-codon, and T loops). Further hydrogen bonds mediate the characteristic L-shaped molecular structure. tRNAs have two regions of fundamental functional importance: the anti-codon, which is responsible for specific mRNA codon recognition, and the 3' end, to which the tRNAs corresponding amino acid is attached (by aminoacyl-tRNA synthetases). tRNAs cope with the degeneracy of the genetic code in two manners: having more than one tRNA (with a specific anti-codon) for a particular amino acid; and 'wobble' base-pairing, i.e. permitting non-standard base-pairing at the 3rd anti-codon position. RNAcentral also lists the same sequence under 5 other names. The record is from RNAcentral. Lineage: Bacteria; Bacillati; Actinomycetota; Actinomycetes; Micrococcales; Micrococcaceae.